Molecule: long non-coding RNA, 1612 nt
Organism: Aethina tumida (small hive beetle)
Lineage: Eukaryota; Metazoa; Arthropoda; Insecta; Coleoptera; Nitidulidae
Exons: 4
Source: RefSeq, a predicted model, not a curated record
ACCAUGCAAAAGAGGAGGUGAAACCAAUCAACCAACUUUCAAAGAGAUAUUUUUCAUCAUUGAGAUAAUAAAGCCACACAUGUUUGAUUUCGUGAAUGUACCAAAUAAAAGUAACUUCGUAUGUGGUGAAUAUGUGAUAAAAUCUUAGAACCGAGGAUCAUGUGCUGCAUGAACCCACUUGCGAAGGAUUUUGAACUCAACUAAACGAAUAAACUUCGUAAGCUGGUUACUAUGGUUACACGCAUCACCAGCCUCCUUAAUUUUUAAAUAAAAAAAGAGCAUCGCUACCAUGCCAACCACAAAAUGAUAAACUACGUUGUGAUUGUUAAAAUGGGAAUCCACAAAAUAGAAAAUCAAUCUGGUUUGUUCCUACUCGAAUAAUGAGUAGAGUUGUAAUAACUGAUUUUUACAGGUAAGUUGCUUUUAAUAUGAAUAUUUUAGCAGUCUGAAUAGAUAUAUUAAUAAAAUGAGGAAUGAGGAAUAAUUGCAACUAAAAGGAAUCCAACUCUUUAAUCAGCAUCACCAAAGGAUGGUUUCAGGUUUUUUUGAGGGACUUGGAAAGCAUCCCAAAUUCAACAAAGAGAGAAACAUGUCGACUAUGGUUACCACUUCCUCUCAAAUGAAAAAUACCAAUUUUUACAUUUUGAUAAACCUGUUGGAACCCUACUUUAGUAGUUUUAACCAAAAAACACUUUGAUGAUGGAUUGUGUUUGUAAUUUUACAUAUUGACCAGAGAAGAAGCAAUCAGUGUACGUGCCCAUUGGUCCCAAAUUGAUUAAGUCCAUGAAAAAUUUGCUCAGGGUCUAGCUUUUUUAGACAACAGAGAAAACUUUUGAAUUCAUGAUAACGCAAAACAUGUUGCAUUUGAUACUCAAAGGAUGCUACAAAAUGUUAAACGGAAAGUUUUAGAUAAUCCACGAUAUAGUCCAGAUAUUUAUCCAUGUGAAUAUCACUUAUUUUUACCAUUGUCCAGUUUUCAAGUAAAAUAAAAGUUAUUUUAAAGUUAAACCAAAGAUUAAAUAUAUACAUUUAUAGGAAAAAAUAUUAAAUACGAUAUUUAAUCUUUGGUUAAAAAUUAAAAACAAUACUUUUUUGAGAACUUAAUAUUUACAUUUGUUGAAAGUACUAUAUAUUUUAUUUACAUAUUUAUAUAUAACCAAUAAGAAUGUUUUUUAGGUUGGCGUCACUUAAAUAAUUUUAUUUUGAAAUUCAUGUUUGUCAACUUGUAUUAAAAUAUUAUUGCAUUAAACAGUGGCCAAUUUUGCAUUUUGCAAGCUCCACAUUUCAUGAAUUUAAAUAUUUAUAACAUGUUACAAUUAGUGCAUUAACAAUGUAAAACAAUCGCUAUUAAAAUCUGAAUAUUUGGCCGGUUAUCGGUAGUCGUAAAGGCAGAAAGAGCCGCGUGCACAAUAAAUUUGACAAUUUAAUUUAAACGUGUAGUGAGAAAGUGUGUUCCAGUCUGUUCAUCUAGUACAAACACCAGUAUCAAGUCUAUAAUGAAUCAACUAAUUAUCCAAGUAAGUAAUUCUUAAUUUUUAGAACUGACUAAAGGUCUUUCUUUGUAUCAACAAACCACACGUUUUUAAACAAGUCACAAUGCUUAAAUAAAAAC